RNAcentral lists this ribosomal RNA (253 nucleotides) under uncultured bacterium. RNAcentral's name for it is "partial 16S ribosomal RNA". It matches the Rfam family "Bacterial small subunit ribosomal RNA", at positions 524 to 776 of the family's 1533-position model. The record is from RNAcentral.
UACGUAGGGUGCAAGCGUUGUCCGGAAUCACUGGGCGUAAAGGGCGCGUAGGCGGCGCGACAAGUCAACGGUGAAAGCCUGGGGCUCAACCCCGGGUCGGCCGUCGAUACUGUUGGGCUUGAGCACUGUAGAGGCAGGUGGAAUUCCGGGUGUAGCGGUGGAAUGCGUAGAGAUCCGGAAGAACACCGGUGGCGAAGGCGGCCUGCUGGGCAGUAGCUGACGCUGAGGCGCGACAGCGUGGGGAGCAAACAGG